UCUGAUCUAGUAGAGCAGUGGUUCCCAAACUGUUUCCGUUUCUGUUACUGUACCACCAACUGUUUCUGUUACUGUACCACUAACUGUUUCUGUUACUGUCCCACCAACUGUUUCUGUUACUGUCCCACCAACUGUUUCUGUUACUGUCCCACCAACUGUUUCUGUUACUGUACCACCAACUGUUUCUGUUACUGUCCCACCAACUGUUUCUGUUACCGUACCACCAACUGUUUCUGUUACUGUCCCACCAACUGUUUCUGUUACUGUACCACCAACUGUUUCUGUUACUGUCCCACCAACUGUUUCUGUUACUGUCCCACCAACUGUUUCUGUUACUGUACCACCAACUGUUUCUGUUACUGUCCCACCAACUGUUUCUGGUACUGUACCACCAACUGUUUCUGUUACCGUCCCACCAACUGUUUCUGUUACUGUACCACCAACUGUUUCUGUUACUGUCCCACCAACUGUUUCUGGUACCGUCCCACCAACUGUUUCUGGUACUGUACCACCAACUGUUUCUGUUACUGUCCCACCAACUGUUUCUGUUACUGUCCCACCAACUGUUUCUGUUACUGUCCCACCAACUGUUUCUGUUACUGUACCACCAACUGUUUCUGUUACUGUACCACCAACUGUUUCUGUUACCGUACCACCAACUGUUUCUGUUACUGUCCCACCAACUGUUUCUGUUACUGUCCCACCAACUGUUUCUGUUACUGUCCCACCAACUGUUUCUGUUACUGUCCCACCAACUGUUUCUGUUACUGUACCACCAACUGUUUCUGUUACUGUACCACCAACUGUUUCUGUUACCGUCCCACCAACUGUUUCUGUUACUGUCCCACCAACUAUUUCUGUUACCGUCCCACCAACUGUUUCUGUUACCGUACCACCAACUGUUUCUGUUACUGUCCCACCAACUGUUUCUGUUACUGUCCCACCAACUGUUUCUGUUACUGUCCCACCAACUGUUUCUGUUACUGUCUCACCAACUGUUACUGUCCUACCAACUGUUUCUGUUACUGUCCCACCAACUGUUUCUGUUACCGUCCCACCAACUGUUUCUGUUACUGUCCCACCAACUGUUUCUGUUACUGUCUCACCAACUGUUUCUGUUACUGUCCCACCAACUGUUUCUGUUACUGUCCCACCAACUGUUUCUGUUACCGUCCCACCAACUGUUUCUGUUACCGUCCCACCAACUGUUUCUGUUACCGUCCCACCAACUGUUUCUGUUACUGUACCACCAACUGUUUCUGUUACCGUCCCACCAACUGUUUCUGUUACUGUCCCACCAACUGUUUCUGUUACUGUACCACCAACUGUUUCUGUUACUGUACCACCAACUGUUUCUGUUACCGUACCACCAACUGUUUCUGUUACCGUACCACCAACUGUUUCUGUUACCGUCCCACCAACUGUUUCUGUUACCGUCCCACCAACUGCUUCUGUUACCGUACCACCAACUGUUUCUGUUACCGUACCACCAACUGUUUCUGUUACCGUACCACCAACUGUUUCUGUUACCGUACCACCAACUGUUUCUGUUACCGUACCACCAACUGUUUCUGUUACCGUACCACCAACUGUUUCUGUUACUGUCGCACCAACUGUUUCUGUUACUGUCCCACCAACUGUUUAUGUUACUGUCCCACCAACUGUUUCUGUUACUGUCCCACCAACUGUUUCUGUUACUGUCCCACCAACUGUUUCUGUUACUGUACCACCAACUGUUUCUGUUACUGUACCACCAACUGUUUCUGUUACUGUACCACCAACUGUUUCUGUUACUGUACCACCAACUGUUUCUGUUACUGUACCACCAACUGUUUCUGUUACUGUUCUAGUACCCCUUCUGUCCUAGUACCCCUGUGGAAAGUCCUAGUACCCCUGUGUAUAGUCCUAGUACCCCUGUGUAUAGUCCUAGUACCCCUGGUUGUGGAAACCUGUAGUAGAGAAGGUGCUGUGCUAUAG
Molecule: long non-coding RNA, 1977 nt
Filed under: Salmo trutta (river trout)
Lineage: Eukaryota; Metazoa; Chordata; Actinopteri; Salmoniformes; Salmonidae
Description: lncRNA (ENSSTUG00000002271.1)
Source: RNAcentral